UAAAAUUUGUAAACCCUCAAGGCAGGAAAA
Molecule: non-coding RNA, 30 nt
Filed under: Mus musculus (house mouse)
Lineage: Eukaryota; Metazoa; Chordata; Mammalia; Rodentia; Muridae
Source: RNAcentral